UGGCAUCGUUCCACUUCCCGUCGAAGCAGAGGCUGCCACAGUCCUCCCCUUGCUGCCCAACAUUGCUGGGUUCCCCGGACCCCCAGAACCUGAAAUGCAAACCGAAGCCCCAUGGAAUUAGAGGAGCAGCUGCCGCUGAACAUCCACUUCCGCUCCCAGAGUUUCCUCACCUCCAUGUACUCGUCAUCCUGGUUUCUCACCCUCUUCCUCACGACCUUCCCUUUGCCUGUUGCCACCCAAGUGUUUGACAUUUUCAUGUAUGAGGGGCUGGAGAUCGUCUUCCGUGUGGGGAUGGCCCUCCUGCAGUUCAACCAGGCAGAGCUGAUGCAGCUGGAUAUGGAGGGGAUGUCGCAGGAAACACAGAGAAUUCCCUGGACCACGCGCGGUGGGAGCACAUGCUGCUUCAGUUCCUAAGAACAUCUCUGGCGAUGAUAGACGACAGUGCCUGGAGCAGCCAGAUAAGCCUUGAGUUGAACCAGCAGAUGGCCAGCUAUACCAGCCCCUCCCAUGAGAAGUUCCCACAACCGGACAUCAGUUUCAGAGACCCCCAUCCCCUCCACUGGCAUGAUGUGUAGCUGACAGGAAAGCAGGACAGCCAUGCAGCAAAGGGCUGAGAUAGGCCAUUCACAGUAAGGCAUGGAGCUGAAGCCCAGGGUCAGACUCUGGGAGGGGUAACAGCCAUUUCAGCACAUCAGGGAUGGACUCAGAUGACUGAGAAAAAUGCCAAGUCUUGAGCCCACAUUCCCCAACAAUGACAAUAGACUCAUCCAAGACACUGCUGUGCACAGACCCAGGCUUGUAUAUAGGGGAAAUUUUCCAACAUUUACUCCAGGAGGAAUUUUGAGCCACAACGCAAUGCACAAAUUUAUUUCCUCCCCCCCUCACACACACACCCCACCGCCAGCAGAAUUAGCCAGCAGCUCUGCAGCACUGUCAGUAGCAGAUGCGGGACCAACCAGAGCCUGGCUCUCCAACUUGCAAAUACAUGACACUGCCAGGGGGACGGGGAGCUGGACUGUUCCAUGCAGGUGCAGUUCCCAGCAUGUCCUGAAGGAAGGAAGUGGCAUGCAGGAAACUCUGUACAAGCCUGGGACCCAGCAUCAGGCUGUUUCUCCCUCUCAGUGGCGUAGCCAGGUUCUAACAUCAG
This is an RNA transcript of Mauremys mutica (yellowpond turtle), 1147 nucleotides long. It is a transcript of the gene named EVI5-like protein, with no coding region annotated. NCBI's taxonomy places the organism in Eukaryota, Metazoa, Chordata, Testudines, Geoemydidae. The record is from RefSeq and is a predicted model, not a curated record. The transcript has 6 exons.